RNAcentral lists this ribosomal RNA (325 nucleotides) under uncultured eukaryote. RNAcentral's name for it is "partial 18S ribosomal RNA". It matches the Rfam family "Eukaryotic small subunit ribosomal RNA", at positions 1470 to 1796 of the family's 1831-position model. The record is from RNAcentral.
CCCUUAGAUGUUCUGGGCCGCACGCGCGCUACACUGACGCAUUCAUCAAGCCUACAACCUUGGCCGAGAGGCCUGGGUAAUCUUUUGAAAGUGCGUCGUGAUGGGGAUAGAUUAUUGCAAUUCUUAAUCUUCAACGAGGAAUUCCUAGUAAACGCACGUCAUCAGCGUGCAUUGAUUACGUCCCUGCCCUUUGUACACACCGCCCGUCGCUACUACCGAUUGAAUGUCUUAGUGAGGACCACGGACCGCUGCCUUGGGUGGCAACACCCCUGGCUGCGGGAAGUGGUCCAAACUUGAACAUUUAGAGGAAGUAAAAGUCGUAACA